CUUGGGUCAGACUACCGGCGGCGACGACCACGGGAGCAUGGCGGACACCGACCUGUUCAUGGAAUGUGAGGAGGAGGAGUUGGAGCCAUGGCAGAAAAUCAGUGAUGUCAUUGAGGACUCUGUAGUUGAAGAUUAUAAUUCAGUGGAUAAAACUACCACAGCUGGCAAUCCUUUGGUCCAGCAAGGUGGACAGCCACUCAUCCUGACCCAGAAUCCAGCCCCAGGUCUGGGCACAAUGGUUACUCAACCAGUAUUGAGGCCUGUUCAGGUCAUGCAGAAUGCCAAUCAUGUGACUAGUUCCCCUGUGGCCUCACAACCAAUAUUUAUCACUACGCAGGGAUUUCCUGUAAGGAAUGUCCGGCCUGUACAAAAUGCAAUGAAUCAGGUUGGGAUUGUGCUGAACGUACAGCAAGGCCAAACGGUUAGACCAAUUACACUAGUUCCAGGUAAGGAAAAAUGUCUAUCCAUUUGGAAUAAACCGGCAUCCAGAAGAUUUGUUUUUAUUGUUCUAAAUAUCCUAAGUCAUUUAGUAAGUAUAUUUAAAGAAAAUCUAAAAAUAUAAAAAUAUUAAUGAUUUAAGCCCAAUUUAAAAAAAUCUGUUUCUAACCUUUGGCCAGGGUGGUGGUUUUAUUUAUUUCUGUUUAACUUU
This 649-nucleotide small RNA is filed under the name Pongo abelii (Sumatran orangutan). RNAcentral describes it as "retained intron". The record is from RNAcentral. Lineage: Eukaryota; Metazoa; Chordata; Mammalia; Primates; Hominidae.